Molecule: ribosomal RNA, 1021 nt
Filed under: bacterium OVA2
Lineage: Bacteria
Description: bacterial SSU rRNA
Rfam family: Bacterial small subunit ribosomal RNA
Source: RNAcentral
GCUUAACACAUGCAAGUCGAACGAUGAUGCCCAGCUUGCUGGGCGGAUUAGUGGCGAACGGGUGAGUAAUACGUGAGUAACCUGCCCUUGACUCUGGGAUAAGCCUGGGAAACUGGGUCUAAUACUGGAUACUACCUCUUGCCGCAUGGUGGGUGGUGGAAAGGGUUUUACUGGUUUUGGAUGGGCUCACGGCCUAUCAGCUUGUUGGUGGGGUAAUGGCUCACCAAGGCGACGACGGGUAGCCGGCCUGAGAGGGUGACCGGCCACACUGGGACUGAGACACGGCCCAGACUCCUACGGGAGGCAGCAGUGGGGAAUAUUGCACAAUGGGCGGAAGCCUGAUGCAGCGACGCCGCGUGAGGGAUGACGGCCUUCGGGUUGUAAACCUCUUUCAGUAGGGAAGAAGCGAGAGUGACGGUACCUGCAGAAGAAGCGCCGGCUAACUACGUGCCAGCAGCCGCGGUAAUACGUAGGGCGCAAGCGUUGUCCGGAAUUAUUGGGCGUAAAGAGCUCGUAGGCGGUUUGUCGCGUCUGCUGUGAAAGCCCGGGGCUCAACCCCGGGUCUGCAGUGGGUACGGGCAGACUAGAGUGCAGUAGGGGAGACUGGAAUUCCUGGUGUAGCGGUGAAAUGCGCAGAUAUCAGGAGGAACACCGAUGGCGAAGGCAGGUCUCUGGGCUGUUACUGACGCUGAGGAGCGAAAGCAUGGGGAGCGAACAGGAUUAGAUACCCUGGUAGUCCAUGCCGUAAACGUUGGGCACUAGGUGUGGGGGACAUUCCACGUUUUCCGCGCCGUAGCUAACGCAUUAAGUGCCCCGCCUGGGGAGUACGGCCGCAAGGCUAAAACUCAAAGGAAUUGACGGGGGCCCGCACAAGCGGCGGAGCAUGCGGAUUAAUUCGAUGCAACGCGAAGAACCUUACCAAGGCUUGACAUUCACCGGACCGCCCCAGAGAUGGGGUUUCCCUUCGGGGCUGGUGGACAGGUGGUGCAUGGUUGUCGUCAGCUCGUGUCGUGAGAUGUGG